Molecule: ribosomal RNA, 537 nt
Filed under: uncultured Paracoccaceae bacterium
Lineage: Bacteria; Pseudomonadati; Pseudomonadota; Alphaproteobacteria; Rhodobacterales; Paracoccaceae
Description: bacterial SSU rRNA
Rfam family: Bacterial small subunit ribosomal RNA
Source: RNAcentral
ACAACGCUGGCGGCAGGCUAACACACUGCAGUCGAACGGGAUCUUCGGAUCUAGUGGCGGACGGGUUAGUAACGCGUGGGAACGUACCCUUUUCUACGGAAUAGCCUCGGGAAACUGAGAGUAAUACCGUAUACGCCCUUCGGGGGAAAGAUUUAUCGGAGAAGGAUCGGCCCGCGUAAGAUUAGAUAGUUGGUGGGGUAAUGGCCUACCAAGUCUACGAUCUUUAGCUGGUUUGAGAGGAUGAUCAGCAACACUGGGACUGAGACACGGCCCAGACUCCUACGGGAGGCAGCAGUGGGGAAUCUUAGACAAUGGGGGAAACCCUGAUCUAGCCAUGCCGCGUGAGUGACGAAGGCCUUAGAGGUCGUAAAGCUCUUUCGCUGGGGAAGAUAAUGACUGUACCCAGUAAAGAAACCCCGGCUAACUCCGUGCCAGCAGACCGCAGGUAAUACGAGAGGGGGUUAGCGUAGUUACGGAAUUACUGGGCGUAAAAGCGCGCGUAGGCGGACUGGAAAAGUUCGGGGGUGAAAUCCCAGG